AACUAACUACUGAAUUUUUCUAUUAUAUAAGAUCAUCUUCUUUAAUUAACAACACCAAUAAAACCCAUGUGCUAUUUUCACUGCUACCAUUCCCAGGCCAUUAGUUCUAUCUCUGGAAAUCUUCGUUUCCAUAUAUAUAUAAAUAUAUGGAAAGAUUAUAUUGGUCUUUAUGGUCUGUUUCAUUUGUGAGCUUUCCAUGUUUUUUUCCUUGUUUUUCUUCUAAAUGUUAAACUUGAUCUUUGUAUAUUUGGGGAAAACCUAGACCCAGCCAUUAUUGAUACAAUA
This 285-nucleotide unclassified non-coding RNA is filed under the name Hevea brasiliensis (rubber tree). Lineage: Eukaryota; Viridiplantae; Streptophyta; Magnoliopsida; Malpighiales; Euphorbiaceae. The record is from RNAcentral.